This 314-nucleotide ribosomal RNA is filed under the name uncultured bacterium. Its description in RNAcentral is "bacterial SSU rRNA". It matches the Rfam family "Bacterial small subunit ribosomal RNA", at positions 262 to 573 of the family's 1533-position model. The record is from RNAcentral.
GGCCCACCAAGGCGACGAUCAGUAGGGGUUCUGAGAGGAAGGUCCCCCACAUUGGAACUGAGACACGGUCCAAACUCCUACGGGAGGCAGCAGUGAGGAGUAUUGGUCAAUGGACGAGAGUCUGAACCAGCCAAGUAGCGUGCAGGAUGACGGCCCUAUGGGUUGUAAACUGCUUUUAUAAGGGAAUAAAGUGAGUCUCGUGAGACUUUUUGCAUGUACCUUAUGAAUAAGGACCGGCUAAUUCCGUGCCAGCAGCCGCGGUAAUACGGAAGGUCCGGGCGUUAUCCGGAUUUAUUGGGUUUAAAGGGAGCGUA